RNAcentral lists this ribosomal RNA (468 nucleotides) under uncultured bacterium. RNAcentral's name for it is "partial 16S ribosomal RNA". It matches the Rfam family "Bacterial small subunit ribosomal RNA", at positions 28 to 507 of the family's 1533-position model. The record is from RNAcentral.
GACGAACGCUGGCGGCGUGCUUAACACAUGCAAGUCGAACGGAAAGGCCCUGCUUUUGUGGGGUGCUCGAGUGGCGAACGGGUGAGUAACACGUGAGUAACCUGCCCUUGACUUUGGGAUAACUUCAGGAAACUGGGGCUAAUACCGGAUAGGAGCUCCUGCUGCAUGGUGGGGGUUGGAAAGUUUCGGCGGUUGGGGAUGGACUCGCGGCUUAUCAGCUUGUUGGUGGGGUAGUGGCUUACCAAGGCUUUGACGGGUAGCCGGCCUGAGAGGGUGACCGGCCACAUUGGGACUGAGAUACGGCCCAGACUCCUACGGGAGGCAGCGGUGGGGAAUAUUGCACAAUGGGCGGAAGCCUGAUGCAGCAACGCCGCGUGCGGGAUGACGGCCUUCGGGUUGUAAACCGCUUUCGCCUGUGACGAAGCGUGAGUGACGGUAAUGGGCAAAGAAGCACCGGCUAACUACGUG